RNAcentral lists this ribosomal RNA (936 nucleotides) under Triticum aestivum (bread wheat). RNAcentral describes it as "partial small subunit ribosomal RNA". The record is from RNAcentral. Lineage: Eukaryota; Viridiplantae; Streptophyta; Magnoliopsida; Poales; Poaceae.
AUGGUCCAGAUCGGCUCAUGGAGCAGCCACCCGUCGUCGUCGUCGUGCUGCCUCGCCACGGCGUCGCCAUGUUCGCCGCCGCCGGAGCUGCUGUGCUCCUCCACGUGCUUCUUCUCGGUCUCCAGCACGAUGCGGGCGCCGGCCGUGCCGCCAAGCUCGCGGAGCAGGGUGUGCGUCGGGAGUGCCAGCUCUACCACGAGCGCCGGGCGGCACCGCGGGUUCUCCUGCAGCGCGAGCGACACGCGGCCCUCGCGGCAGCCGAAGAGCGUGCCAGUCAUGUGUCGCCGGGACGACGCGCCGACGCCUCCGCCGCCGUUCAACGUGGUCGAGGGCGAGAUGAUCUGCGACAGGAGGGAGUCCGACCGCGCCGGUGACGCGGACGCGGCCGCCGCGGUCGGAGGCGCCGCCAGAAUCCCCCCGCAGCGCGGCACCGUCAGCACCGGCAGAGACCGGAACAUGCUCUGGAAAAUCCUCACGGGCUUGGAUCUCCGAGCCGGCCUUCGACGCGCGGGCGGCUCCUCCAGCGCGUGGCCCGCCGGGGCGCGCGUUGUGGACGUCGACGGCAGCGAGGGCGGGAGACGGAGGAUGGUGUCCACGGACGACAUGGACGACAUGGACGACGUCAAACGCGCCCUUUUGCUCUCGGGGUCGACCGCGGCGUUGGCCAUGGUAUCGGCGGGAGGCGAGAGCUACCGGCGGUGCCGCGGCGCGGCCGGCGCUGCUCGCUCCCUCGGCCGUGAAUGUGCGAUAAUCGUGUGGCGCGCGGUGCCCAUGGGAGGGGGCGGGACGAGGUCUUUGAUGCCAUCGCCGUUAGGACUGCCGGAUGUCGCGGCGGCGGAUUCGGUGUGUUCGUUCGUCGCCACUGGCGCGCAGCCAUUGAUUCCUGUUGCUCGGUUACGCGCCCUGCUGGUGAUUCUGCGGUGGAAAGGCCCUUAG